RNAcentral lists this long non-coding RNA (211 nucleotides) under Mytilus galloprovincialis (Mediterranean mussel). The record is from RNAcentral. Lineage: Eukaryota; Metazoa; Mollusca; Bivalvia; Mytilida; Mytilidae.
GUUUGAGCUUUUGUUGUGUGUUUUAGGCCAUGUUGUUACUUUAAGACAUGGUAAUGUACUUUUUAGUGGUUUCUAAAUCUUGAGAUUUUGUCUCGUGAAUUUUUUUUUAAGUCAUAAUGUAUAUAUGGAUUAAAUAAACAUCUUUUGUUUAGAACAUAUUUACUGUGAACCAACUUAUUUUAGAUGACAAUUUAUUAAGCGUUUAGCCCUU